Maniola jurtina (meadow brown) is the source of this 270-nucleotide long non-coding RNA. RefSeq lists it as uncharacterized. Lineage: Eukaryota; Metazoa; Arthropoda; Insecta; Lepidoptera; Nymphalidae. The transcript is spliced from 3 exons. The record is from RefSeq and is a predicted model, not a curated record.
CCAAGACUCACAAGUUCAUAAUGCUUUCAUUGUUAAAAAGUUAUGAGAUCUCUAGUAGGGCCAAGCCCCUAGCUGAGCUUAGAUUUGCGCUGCCCAUGGGACCUAUCCCAAGUCCAAAAUACAUAUAGCUCUUAAGUGCUCUUCAGUAUAUCACAUUUAUAUCAAUAAAUAACAAAUAACUCUACUUACAAGCUCUGACUCUACAAACUCUACAUCUUAGUUAAAAAAGUACGGCUUGGCCGUUUAAUAUUAAAAUCUUGAAAAUGUAUA